GAUGAACGCUGGCGGCGUGCCUAAUACAUGCAAGUCGACCGAACAAACGAGGAGCUUGCUCCUCUGACGUUAGCGGCGGACGGGGGAGUAACACGUGGAUAACCUACCUAUAAACCUGGGAUAACUUCGGGAAACCGGGGCUAAUACCGGAUAAUUUAUUAAACCGCAUGGUUCAAUAUUGAAAGACGGUUUUGCUUUCACUUAUAGAUGGAUCCGCGCCGCAUUAGCUAGUUGGUAAGGUAACGGCUUACCAAGGCAACGAUGCGUAGCCGACCUGAGAGGGUGAUCGGCCACACUGGAACUGAGACACGGUCCAGACUCCUACGGGAGGCAGCAGUAGGGAAUCUUCCGCAAUGGGCGAAAGCUUGAUGGAGCAACGCCGCGUGAGUGAUGAAGGUCUUCGGAUCGUAAAACUCUGUUAUUAGGGAAGAACAAAUGUGUAAGUAACUAUGCACGUCUUGACGGUACCUAAUCAGAAAGCCACGGCUAACUACGUG
Molecule: ribosomal RNA, 497 nt
Filed under: uncultured bacterium
Lineage: Bacteria
Description: partial 16S ribosomal RNA
Rfam family: Bacterial small subunit ribosomal RNA
Source: RNAcentral